UCUCGACGGCGGGAGGGAUUCGGGAGCGCGGGGACAGCCCCGGGCCCUGGCGCUUUCUGCCGGGGUGCUUCACUUUCCAGUGGGGGUGGGAGCCGGUUCCACCCCGCGUUCCGCCCCGGAGCUGCGCGCGCGCGUGGGGCCCCCUCCGCAAUGGGGGCUGCCCCCGCCUCCCACAGCCCCACUACGCCGCCCGCCCCUUGGGAGAAACUGACGCCCUUCCGUCACCCGGAGGCAGAGGCCACCCGGGCUCGCGGUCUGCAAACACCGCCCCCGCCUGGCCCCCGCCCCCCCACGGGUAGCCCGGGGCCGUCCUCGGGAUCGGACCGCGCCUCGCCAAGGGUGCAUCAGUGUGGGGCUCCGAGUCCGCUGGCCCGAGCGGCGGGGGCAGGGGUAACGCGGCAGCUGGGAGCGCCGCUCAGGCCCGGACGCGCGGAGGGCCGAGGGCGGGGGGCCGGCUUCGCCAUGCUCCAAUUGAACCCUGGAAAAACCCCGGCGCGUAGGGGAGGCGGGCCCCUCGCAGGCACCGACGGGGACGGCGGGAACAAAGGCGGCCUGCGGCCGCGUCAGUCAUGGAAAAACCCAUCCGGCCGCCGGGGCGGGGGUGGCGCGGAGAGCGCAGGGGAGGGGCCGGGCAGCCGGGCCACCCUCGCCACCCUCGCCGGCCCGCCCGGGAGGGGCUGCUUUUGCUUCCCCUUCCCUGGAACGCGCCUCGCGGAGAGAGGGAGGAGGCCCCAGGAAAGCAGAAAAUGCCCGGCGGGGAGGGGCGGCUCGGCCCCGGGACCGAGAACCAGAAGUCCCUACUCUCCGAUGCCGCGCGCCCGCCCGGCAGCGGUGCACAGCCGGACUCUCGGCAGCGAGUGGCGGGCAGUCCGGGCAGGUACACGCCGGGCACACGCGGCGCUGCACAUGGCCACCUGGCGGGGUGAACGCAGCUGCGACAGCCAGCCGCGGCCUUGGGCCCAUAGGGGGCGCGCAUAGACGCGCGCGCUGGCAAGUUCGGCCGCGCGCAAGCUUCUGCAUAUACUUGCUCACUUACACGCACGUGCGCCCAGACACACUAGCUGCCCCAAACUGCCAGGGCUGAGAGGAGAGGGUCCGACCGCGGGGUUCCGGGGCUUAGACACGCAAUCUCAGAAGCCGGGGACAGGGAUCUUGGAAGCAGCCCUGGUUAGGCCGGAAGCAUUUCACAGAAAAGGCAAGUGUUGGCACAGUUGGACCCAGUGACUCCUGAGGCCUUUUCCAGUUCUGACAUUUCAUGAAGAAGGAACUGGGUCCAGAAGCCAUAAAAGGAGUUGGUGGAAGCAGAAAAAACUCUGGCACCUGGCGUGGCCCCAGCCGCAGUCUGUUCUGGUUCAAAUGGCCCCCGCAUUUAUUUGUGUUGUGCUGCUUGCCAUGGGGUGUGUGUGGGGGGGCAAAGCCUGUGCCAGCUGGGGCCCUGGGUG
This is an RNA transcript of Choloepus didactylus (southern two-toed sloth), 1442 nucleotides long. It is a transcript of the gene named translation initiation factor IF-2-like, with no coding region annotated. The transcript has 2 exons. The record is from RefSeq and is a predicted model, not a curated record. NCBI's taxonomy places the organism in Eukaryota, Metazoa, Chordata, Mammalia, Pilosa, Megalonychidae.